This 287-nucleotide ribosomal RNA is filed under the name uncultured bacterium. RNAcentral's name for it is "partial 16S ribosomal RNA". It matches the Rfam family "Bacterial small subunit ribosomal RNA", at positions 775 to 1067 of the family's 1533-position model. The record is from RNAcentral.
GGAUUAGAUACCCUGGUAGUCCACGCCGUAAACGAUGAUAACUAGUUGUUUGCAAUAGACCGUAAGCGACAAAGCGAAAGCAUUAAGUUAUCCACCUGGGGAGUACGUUGGCAACAAUGAAACUCAAAGGAAUUGACGGGGGCCCGCACAAGCGGAGGAACAUGUGGUUUAAUUCGAUGAUACGCGAGGAACCUUACCUGGACUUAAAUGUAUAGUGACAGCUUUAGAGAUAGAGUUUUCUUCGGACACUUUACAAGGUGCUGCAUGGUUGUCGUCAGCUCGUGCCG